RNAcentral lists this ribosomal RNA (1074 nucleotides) under Metapseudomonas otitidis. Its description in RNAcentral is "bacterial SSU rRNA". It matches the Rfam family "Bacterial small subunit ribosomal RNA", at positions 202 to 1248 of the family's 1533-position model. Lineage: Bacteria; Pseudomonadati; Pseudomonadota; Gammaproteobacteria; Pseudomonadales; Pseudomonadaceae. The record is from RNAcentral.
GGGGGAUCUUCGGACCUCACGCUAUCAGAUGAGCCUAGGUCGGAUUAGCUAGUUGGUGGGGUAAUGGCCCACCAAGGCGACGAUCCGUAACUGGUCUGAGAGGAUGAUCAGUCACACUGGAACUGAGACACGGUCCAGACUCCUACGGGAGGCAGCAGUGGGGAAUAUUGGACAAUGGGCGAAAGCCUGAUCCAGCCAUGCCGCGUGUGUGAAGAAGGUCUUCGGAUUGUAAAGCACUUUAAGUUGGGAGGAAGGGCAGUAAGUUAAUACCUUGCUGUUUUGACGUUACCAACAGAAUAAGCACCGGCUAACUUCGUGCCAGCAGCCGCGGUAAUACGAAGGGUGCAAGCGUUAAUCGGAAUUACUGGGCGUAAAGCGUAGGUGGUUCAGCAAGUUGGAUGUGAAAGCCCCGGGCUCAACCUGGGAAUUGCAUCCCUGAGCUAGAGUACGGUAGAGGGUGGUGGAAUUUCCUGUGUAGCGGUGAAAUGCGUAGAUAUAGGAAGGAACACCAGUGGCGGAAGGCGGGACCCACCCCGGAGCUGAAUACUGACCACUGAGGGUGCAAAAAGCGUGGGGGAGCCAAACCACGGAUUUAGAUUACCCCUGGGUAGUCCACGCCCGUAAAACGGAUGUCAGACUAGGCCCUUGGGGAUCCCUUGAGAUCUUAGUGGCGCCAGCUAAACGCGAUAAGUCGAACCGCCCCGGGGAGUACGGCCCGCAAAGGGUAAAAACUCUAAUGAAUUGACGGGGGCCCGCACAAGCGGUGGAGCAUGUGGAAUUCGAAGCAACGCGAAGAACCCUUACCCGGCCUUGACAUGCAGAGAACUUUCCAGAGAUGGAGUGGUGCCCUCGGGAACUCUGACACAGGUGCUGCAUGGCUGUCGUCAGCUCGUGUCGUGAGAUGUUGGGUUAAGUCCCGUAACGAGGGCAACCCCUGUCCUUAGUUGCCAGCACCACGGGUGGGCACUCUAUGGAGACUGCCGGGGAAGCUGAGGAAGGUGGGGAUGACGUCAAGUCAUCAUGGCCCUUACGGCCAGGGCUACACACGUGUUACAAUGGUCGGUACAAAGGGUU